AUCGCCUAGAGCGUCCUACGCGCCACCACAUAACAGUAGCACACCUCGCUUCCGAGCCACACAGAAGGCGGCAAAGCUGCUCGUCGCCACAAACAACAGCCAAACCAACGCGACAGAAAAACCACAAAUCUAAUCCAAACGGGAACCAACCACCGCCUACCCGCUGUAGAUAAGGGUCUCUACCACGAACUUUGACGGACCACGAACCAUAAACCUCAAAGAUUCAACAACCAGAAACCGUUAA
RNAcentral lists this long non-coding RNA (244 nucleotides) under Brassica napus (rape). RNAcentral's name for it is "long non-coding RNA (BNAP_LNC012097)". Lineage: Eukaryota; Viridiplantae; Streptophyta; Magnoliopsida; Brassicales; Brassicaceae. The record is from RNAcentral.